GUCGGCGAUCAUAUCACGUUGAAAGCACCGGUUCUCGUCCCAUCACCGAAGUUAAGCAACGUUGGGCACGGUUAGUACUUGCAUAGGUGACCGGCUGGAAAUACCGAUUAUUGCCGGCU
RNAcentral lists this ribosomal RNA (119 nucleotides) under Trichobilharzia regenti. The record is from RNAcentral. Lineage: Eukaryota; Metazoa; Platyhelminthes; Trematoda; Strigeidida; Schistosomatidae.